GUUUGGUUAUUUAUUCAGGUAUUGGCCAGAGUGACAGCAGGUACGAGUAAUCUGCGGGUUUUCUGUUUCCGAUGGACGCCGGGAUUGUUCCAAUCAAAUUUGGACGCUUCACCCGCGGAUAAUCGAUCAUUCUCACGGCUGUACAAUCGAUGAUGCUUGUCGCUGAACUGGACGCGAUGUGUUCGGAACGAAAGUGGGCGGCUGCAAUUUGGGACGAAAACGCUUUCGAUUACGAAAAUUUGACGGCGAUGCAGAUGAGAGGCAAUAACAGUCCCAAACGGUGUAAGGCGAAUAAAUAGAUCGAUCCUUGGCCAUUGCAAGCGUACUCGUUGCAAAAGGAACACGUGAUGCUGGAGUUUGGUAAAUGGCGGCAGUAUCCAUCGAUUUCGCGUGACGGCACGCAACCUCGUACCGUCACCAGCACGUCCCUAUCUGCAUCAUUAAGGAAAUAGUUGCUUCAUAGCCUCGCCACUUUCAAGGCAACACUUUAAUUGCGAAGACUCAAAGCUAUACAUUUGAUUGAAAUUAAUACAUUGGUCGCCGAGAGCGUGCGAUUAACUGUGCGAUUCGACAUUCCACGCGACGUUCUCGUCAUCUCAUUACGCGUUAAUAUUCAAUAAUUAUAUCGUGGCUGUUUAUAUUUGUAUGCUGUUUAUGUUUAUGUUUAUGUUUAUGUUUACAUUACAUUUAUAUAAUUAUAUCGUGCACAGAUGCAUGAACGAAAACGCGCAAUUCUCGUGAUACAUAGCUUCGAAGGAUAUUAAAGCUUGAAAUUGUUUCUUAGAAAUCCUGUCAUGAACACAUCGCAGUAAUUUUUAAUUGUAUUUUAUGUUCAGUCGACAAGCAUUCCAUUUUGUCGUAAUAUUCAUAUUGGUGCGAAGUGUGAUGUAUCUGUGAGUCAUCGAUGUAUUGUUGUGUUGCUCAUUGAAAUCUAACGUGUCAUGUUUUUUAAGUAGUUUAAGUAGUUUGUUAACUAGUCAUGUAAACUAGUCAUCAGUUCUUCACGUAGUUUAUUAAAUUUUUGUUGUUGUAAAAGGAAGUCUUGUCGGUUUUCCUUGUCACAAAUCCAACGAAAAUGUUGUUACAAUAUUGUUCUUUGCAUAUUCAUUAGGUGAUCAACGCUAAACCUAACACGUGGCGAUUAAAAUGACCGAUUUCGCUUUUUUCUUUAUUAAAAUUGUUGAAAGUGUAAAAAUAUUUUCUUAAGAGACGAUUAGAUAAAUUUCUUAAUUCAUGCAUACAUUAUGUGUAAUAAAAGUGAGGAAACGUCAAAAUAAAUUCGGUCUUGUGAUUUCUAUAAAGCGA
Megalopta genalis is the source of this 1305-nucleotide long non-coding RNA. RefSeq lists it as uncharacterized. The record is from RefSeq and is a predicted model, not a curated record. Lineage: Eukaryota; Metazoa; Arthropoda; Insecta; Hymenoptera; Halictidae.